CUCCUACGGAGGCAGCAGUGAGGAAUAUUGCACAAUGGGCGCAAGCCUGAUGCAGCGACGCCGCGUGGGGGAUGAAGGCCUUCGGGUUGUAAACCCCUUUCACCAGGAGCGAAUUCAGACGGUACCUGGGGAAGAAGCCCGGCUAACUCUGUGCCAGCAGCCGCGGUAAUAC
Molecule: ribosomal RNA, 172 nt
Filed under: uncultured bacterium
Lineage: Bacteria
Description: partial 16S ribosomal RNA
Rfam family: Bacterial small subunit ribosomal RNA
Source: RNAcentral